CUGGGUUUUUCGCGAAAAAGUUAUGACAUUUAAUUUUUUCAAACAUUUUAAACUAAGGUUUCUUUAAGUUACUGAUAUAUAUACGGGAAAUAGUGGGUCAGAUAAACUUACUAUGCUAAGAAAAUUCAGCCCAAUGAAAAUUGAACUUUCUUCAGCUGAGAUUAGUAUAAAAUUAGUACAUAUAUUUAAUGAGCACCAUAUCAAAAAAAAUCAGAGGAGGUCCAAAUAAACUAGAAGUAUAUGAUUGCAUUUGAAGUAACUACGAAAUAAAUACUAAAUAUAUAUUAUUAUUAACAACACAGGUCUAGAUUAUUUUAAGAGAGUAACGAUUUAUUCGGCUACCAAAUAACAUUUGCUCCAUUGACGUCUAUGGCAAAAUUGUUAUGAUAAUCUAGCCCAUAAUGUGACAUUUCUGAAUUCAGAUACUUUAAAGAAUAGUAUCACCAACAACCUCUUAAUGUGAAAAACAUGGUGAUUUUUAAGAUGACUUUUUGUUUCAUUGACCCGGAAAGGUAUUCUACUUCAAUAUAUAAAAGACAGAUUUAAUUCUAUGUGCCUAUGUGCCUAUAUGCAUAUAUUUGCAUUGCAUGAUUUUACCUUUUCACUGUUAAAAUUAAAGAAAAAAUUCUAAACACAUUGUAUGCAUUAGUAUAACAAUGUAACAUUGUAUCCCACUAAAUAUUACCAUUAAGAAUUUCAGAAUUUGAGAUUGACCACAGAAUCAUUGUGUUCUCAUUUUUACGAUGUAUGGUUCUGUAUAUCACAGAUAAAGAUGGAUUUGGGACUGUUUUGUCAAGCAACUGCAAUUUCUUAUUUAUUUUAUAUUUAAUCUAUUUCUGUACUGCAUAGAACAUUCUCAUAAAUGACAAAUAAAC
Molecule: non-coding RNA, 875 nt
Organism: Pelobates cultripes (western spadefoot toad)
Lineage: Eukaryota; Metazoa; Chordata; Amphibia; Anura; Pelobatidae
Source: the annotation of a GenBank genome assembly